RNAcentral lists this long non-coding RNA (612 nucleotides) under Homo sapiens (human). RNAcentral describes it as "non-protein coding LINC00635:8". Lineage: Eukaryota; Metazoa; Chordata; Mammalia; Primates; Hominidae. The record is from RNAcentral.
UGUGUGGUCUCUUCAGCAUAGCAACAGCAGCGUAGCUGAACAUCUUACGGAUGGCCCAGGGCUCCAAAGGCUCGUUUCCUAAGUGAGAGAGAGCCUGGCUGAAGCUGUAUUACCAUUCAUUCUCCAGCCUCCGAAGUCUCAAAGCAUCACUUCCACCAUACUCUAACUGUCAAGACAAACACAAAGGCCCAGAAACUGCCAGACUGUCUUCUGAAGUGGCUAUAAUAUUUACACUCCCAUCAGCAGUGUAGAAGGGGUCUCACUAUGUUGUCUGGAGUGCUGUGGUGGAGUGGAGUGGCUAUUCACAGCUGAGUUUGCAGAGUAAACCACUACCCUGAAAUCUGGAAAGGCAGGUGCACCCACAGAUCCUCAGCUGAGAUCCAAUUACCUGAAAUAGAAGCUGCCAUUAGGAACACUUAAAAGAGCCUGUUCUGCUGGGACACAGAAUCACUUGCUCCAUCUCAUACAUUGAUGAUGAUUAAUUUGUAUGUGUACCUUCCAAAAAAGAUGGUUGUGUUUGAAUGGAGGCCUUCUGGACAGGAAAAUAUGGAGAGUGCGUGCUUUGGAUUCAAGACUGGGAAUGAGGGGACCAGAAACCUAUUCUGUGGCUGU